RNAcentral lists this long non-coding RNA (4663 nucleotides) under Triticum aestivum (bread wheat). RNAcentral's name for it is "long non-coding RNA (TAES_LNC003765)". Lineage: Eukaryota; Viridiplantae; Streptophyta; Magnoliopsida; Poales; Poaceae. The record is from RNAcentral.
UUUUUUAGAGAAAAGGCCUAAGCCCGACUUUAUAAAUAAAGCCACAAGGCAGCGUCAUAAGCCCAACCAUCAACAACCAGGGCGAUACACCCAACAACCACAGCAACAGAAUAAAACCAGGACACAUGAGAGUAUAAGGGGUACAUGGCAACCUGCCAAACACGGCACACAGGCCGGAGGGAUAACGGAAACACCAACAGACAUGAAGGACGAUGAAGCAUCAAACAAGUUUAGACGUCAUGAGCCUGCCCGGAUAUGGAGGACGCCGAGGCCCGAAUUUUAGAGAUUAGCAUGUCCAGAGCUCCCCGAUCGUCCUCUUUAGUCAAUGAUCUCCACUGCUGCAUGAAUAUACAAGAUUUGAAAGAAUGUCAGCCGCUUUCAAACGAAAGACGUGUUCAAUAGUAAAUUUGUUCCUAAUCGUCCAAAGAGACCAGCAAAUCACACCCAAGCCAACCCAGAAAACCCUCUUAGCGACCCCAACCAACGAGCUGGCAAGGUUUCUCAUCUCAUGAAAGGAGGAGGGGUUCCAAGUAACCUGAAGCCACGACCGGACACAUCACCAAACAACCUUAGACAAAACACAAUGAAAGAAGAUAUGCUCCGUGUUUUCCACCGCACCGCAAAGAGCACAAAAUUCCGAGCCCGGACCAUUACGCUUACGGAUUUGAUCAGCAGUGGGGAGCCGGCCCCUAAAGGCUUGCCAAAGAAAGAUUUUAACCUUAGUAGGAACUUUGGCCCUCCAAAUGCAAGAGCACCUGUUGGAAGGGACACAACCGAUGAGCCUCGCGUACAAAGACUUAACCGAAAACCGACCAGAGGCAGAAUGAGGCCAGACAACAGAGUCCGAUGACUCCGAGAGCGUGAGGAAGAAGGCAGUAAGACUUUGCCAAUCUUCCAACUCUUCAGGAGGCAGGGAACAGCGCAAGGCCAAAUCCCAGUUAUUGGCUGCCACCUCCGUGAUGGAGAUGUCACGGUUAGGAUAGAAACAAAACAAAACAGGAAACCUACUAGCCAAAGGAGAAUCACCACACCACCAGUUGCGCCAAAAACGGACCGAGGUGCCAUCACCAACAAUAAACUUAACAUGAUCCAGGAAAAGAGGCCUGACUUUAAUAAGGUCUUUCCAGAACUGAGAACCCCGCUGGGAUCCCGCAAACAUAGGACUCGAAAGGGGAAAGUAUUUAGCCUUAAGAAUAGAGUACCAAAGAGAGCCGGCCCCAGUGGUCAUAAUUUUCCACCACCAUUUAAUUAACAUGCACUUGUUCAUGACCUGGGUAUUAAUAAUGCCUAACCCUCCAAAGUUUUUUGGCCUGCACAUAAGCUUCCAUUUAACCAGCCUAUACUUUCGUUUAUUAUCAAUAGCGUUCCAAUAAAAAGCACCCCUGUGUUUGUCAAAACCAGCAUGGGUGCUAACCGAAAGGAGAGAAAAGCCCAUCAGAAACAUUGGGAGGGAGGAGAGGCAAGCAUUAAUGAGAGCAACUUUGCCUGCAUUGGUAUUGUAUCUACCACGCCAGGGGAGAACCCUGUUUCCCACCUUAGACACAGCCGGAGCAAAGUCCUUGACAUGAAGCACCACAGGAGAUAUAGGCAGCCCCAAAUACUUGAUGGGGAAGGAGCCCAGAGAGCAGUUUAGCAGCCUAGCAACAAUCAAGGCCUCAGUAUUGUCGACGCCAGUGACAAGAACCUCACUUUUGGAAAAGUUGAUUUUUAGACCCGAGACAGCCUCAAAGCAAAGCAGGAUGAAUUUAAGGUGGGAUUUGCAGGCGUCAUUCAGCUCAACCAUAAUGUUGGUAUCAUCAGCGUACUGCAGGUGGGUAAUACCAUCCGGAACUAGGUGAGAGGCCAUAGGCAAGAUAUGACCAUGCUGAGCCGCCCUAAGAAGAAUGCGGGAAAAGGCGUCGGCCACAAAAUUAAAGAGCACAGGGGAGGCAGGGUCCCCUUGACGCAGGCCUCGGCCGUUAACAAAGAAAUUACUAAUAUGACCGUUCAAAGAGACUGCGAUGCCCACCCAAGACCAGCUACAUAAUACGAUGCACAUAAGCCCCAUCGAAGCCUUUCGCAAGCAAGACCUACCUUAAAAAAGGCCAGCUAACCGAGUCAUAGGCUUUCUCAAAGUCAAGUUUUAAAAUAAUCUCUUUGGAGUUGCGAGCCCGCAAGUCAUGCACAAUUUCAUGUAGACAGAGGACCCCAUCUAGAAUGUAGCUCCCUUUGAUGAAAGCAGACUGGUACGGGAUGAUGACUCUAUGGGCAACGGGGGAUAGAGGAUUAGCGAAACCCUUCGCAGGGAAUUUAGCAAAGUUGUUAAUCAAAGCGAUGGGUCUAAAUUGAGAGAUCAAUUCAGCACCUUUAACCUUAGGAAUCAGGGAAAUCACUGCAUAAUUAAGACAAGAAAUAUCAAUCGUGCCUAGUCAAAACCCUUGGACGACAUUACAAACUAACUGCCUCAACUGAGGCCAAAACUUCCCGAAGAAAGGAAUAAAAAAACCGUCUGGCCCAGAUGCAGCGUUCGGGUUGGCAGAGUUAACCACAUCCCAAAUUUCCUUAUCCGAGAAGGGAAUCAUCAACGCAGCGUUCUCCUCGGCCUAAACCCUCGAACUAAGGUCCCAUAGGGAACGGGAGAUGGACAGACCCGAAGGGGGUUUGGCCCCUAAUAGUGUAGAAAAGAACUCAACCACGUGCGAAAGAAUUAAUUAUUGGUUCGAAGUACGCACACUAUUAAUGAUCAGGCUAUUAAUACCACAACGCCUCCACCUACCAUUAGCAAUGGCAAAGAAGUAAGCCGUGGGGGAGUCCCCUUUUAGGGUCUAUUUAAGAGUGCCCCGCUGACGCCAAUAAGCUUCAGCCUGAUGAUGCAACUGCAUCAAGGCAGCCUCCAGGUUAUACCGUAAAGACCACCCAUUGUCAGAGAGCCCAGAGGAGUCAGCCGUAAGAUCAAGAGACAAGAUUUGGGCUUCGAGAAGAUCUUUGGAGCGACGCUCCUCCGCUGCAUGGUUACGGGACCACCCUUUCAGAAAAUUUCGCACAGCGUAAGAUCACGAGUGCCAAUCAUCUAGAGGACCGAAAGAGAGGGCAUUGGAGGAGAGGAGGAGGGUAAUCUUCGAGGCGAGCAUGUCACUGAAGCCAUCAAUCAAUAGCCAAGAAGCGUCAAACUAGAAACAGGCAGGUGGUCUAUGAAGCUGCGACCCAUCGUCCAUAAGAAGAGGAGUAUGGUCCGAACCCACAAUACAUUUGGCGACGAGGGAGGCCCUGGGAAAUAACGAGUCCCACCUAGAGCAAACAAAGACUCUGUCUAGAACCGAUCUGUUCGGGUUAGUCUGGUGGUUAGACCAAGUGAAGCGGGCUCCAACCCUAGGAAGCUCGCAGAUGGCAUUAGAACUGAUAAAGUCAUUAAAAGCAUUAGCCAGAGGCCAAGAGAAGUUGUUAUUAUUUUUAUCAGAAGGGGAACUAAGGAGAUUGAAGUCUCCACCGAUAACCAUCGGUAGAUUACAAGCCUCAAUCUUCUCAGAGAGCUUGUCCAGAAAUAGAGAGGAGAGAGAAUGAUCAGCAGACCCAUAAACUACAUUGAACACCCAUAACAGAUUAAGGGCUUUAUGGCAAACAACUGUGUUGGCUCCAAAACUACCAUGAUCAAAGGCAACGAAAUCAAAAACAUCUCUUUUGGAGCCAAUGAGGAUGCCACCCGAAUGGCCUGACGCGGGUAACACAUGCCAAUCAAAUCUAUCCAUACCCGCAAUAGAUGACAACUCAUGAAGGGAAAAAGAAGUUUUGAAAGUCUCCAUGAACCUUACCAAAUCAACAUUAUUCCCACGCACCAAAUCUUUAAUUUGAUCCCAGUGCCCCCUAGCACCAAAACCCCUAAUGUUCCAGAAUAAGGCCCUCAUUUAUACGACAGGUUUUUAAUGCGGAGGCUAGACCUGCUAGGAGCCAUGCAGGGUUUGGAGCAUUUGGAAGGGCCCUUUUUAGAAGUGCUAGGCAGAGGUUGUCCACUACCAACCUCCACCCCCUCACCCUGAGCCCGGGUACCUACAGAAGCAGCAGCCGAAGAGGCAGCGGCCUCUUUAGCUUUAGCAAUAGCCGCCUGGGCUAGCUCGUUAUCCUGAAUAGUAGAAAGAAGAGUAACAGGAGAACAAACUUCAGGAUCUACCGGCACUCCCACAUCCGACAUAAUAUUUAACAGGAAAUCAUUAGAUAAAGAUGGUAGAACUAGCCGGGGCGGGGAAAAAGAAGAGCAGGGGCCAUGUUGGUUACCUGUAGGAGGAGGAAGAUCCUUAGCAGCAGCCCGCCUUUCCGCCCGCUCCAUGAUGGAACCACCCGCAUCGACGACCCGCCUACCUUUGCGAGCCGUGGACGCGGGCGACCGAAUCAGAGGAGAUGGAUCCACAGGAGAAGCCACGACGGGGCCAGAGCGAGACAUCGAGCCGAGAUCCUUGUCGAGGCGGCAAUAGACGCCAGUCAUGGACUGCUUGGAGCCCGAUGAGUUUCUGCUCUUGGCCGAAAACUUGCGCACAGAGGAUUUCUUCUUUAUCUUAGACUGGGCUCCCACCACAUCAUGAUCAGGAGAAACAGGCAGGUCCUCAAUCCCGGAGCGAGUGGGUGAGAUCGGGCGAACCGGGAGGUUGGAGUAGGCACCAGAGGUGGGAGUAGCAGAGAUCGGCUGAUCCUU